RNAcentral lists this ribosomal RNA (269 nucleotides) under Millepora exaesa. Its description in RNAcentral is "partial 28S ribosomal RNA". It matches the Rfam family "Eukaryotic large subunit ribosomal RNA", at positions 1 to 261 of the family's 3401-position model. Lineage: Eukaryota; Metazoa; Cnidaria; Hydrozoa; Anthoathecata; Milleporidae. The record is from RNAcentral.
UUUGACCUCAGAUCAGACAAGACUACCCGCUGAAUUUAAGCAUAUUAAUAAGCGGAGGAAAAGAAACUAACAAGGAUUCCCCCAGUAACGGCGAGUGAAGCGGGAACAGCUCAAGCUUAAAAUCUCCGUUGCUUGCAACGGCGAAUUGUAGCCUCGAGAAGCGCCUUCAAACUGGAUGCACUGUGCUUAAGUUGCUCGGAACGGCACAUCGUAGAGGGUGACAAUCCCGUAUACGGCACAUUGUGCACCAGCCACGUAGCGCUUUCUAU